CCCAACCGUUGCUGCUACCUUGAAGUGGUGGUCGGGCUUCCUUAUUGUGAUGAAAUAAUCCAGCUAUAUUGGCUGGAACAAUCGUUCCUUAAGGUCCUACCAUGCCAGGCAGGUCGGUUGAAGAGUGGUAGGACUAAAAGCAGC
This 144-nucleotide non-coding RNA is filed under the name Schistosoma mansoni. The record is from RNAcentral. Lineage: Eukaryota; Metazoa; Platyhelminthes; Trematoda; Strigeidida; Schistosomatidae.